ACGAACGCUGGCGGCGUGCUUAACACAUGCAAGUCGAACGGAAAGGCCCUGCUUGCAGGGUGCUCGAGUGGCGAACGGGUGAGUAACACGUGGGCGAUCUGCCCCUUACUUUGGGAUAAGCCUGGGAAACUGGGUCUAAUACUGGAUAGGACCAUGCUGUAGGUGGUGUGGUGGAAAGAUUAGUUUCGGUAAGGGAUGAGCUCGCGGCCUAUCAGCUUGUUGGUGGGGUAAUGGCCUACCAAGGCGUCGACGGGUAGCCGGCCUGAGAGGGUGGACGGCCACAUUGGGACUGAGAUACGGCCCAGACUCCUACGGGAGGCAGCAGUGGGGAAUAUUGCACAAUGGGCGCAAGCCUGAUGCAGCGACGCCGCGUGGGGGAUGACGGCCUUCGGGUUGUAAACUCCUUUCAGCCAUGACGAAGCCCUUGUGGUGACGGUAGUGGUAGAAGAAGCACCGGCUAACUACGUG
This 468-nucleotide ribosomal RNA is filed under the name uncultured bacterium. RNAcentral's name for it is "partial 16S ribosomal RNA". It matches the Rfam family "Bacterial small subunit ribosomal RNA", at positions 29 to 507 of the family's 1533-position model. The record is from RNAcentral.